UACAGAGGGUGCAAGCGUUAAUCGGAAUUACUGGGCGUAAAGCGCGCGUAGGUGGUUUGUUAAGUUGGAUGUGAAAGCCCCGGGCUCAACCUGGGAAUGGCGGUGGAUACUGGCGGACUAGAGUGCGGUAGAGGGUGGUGGAAUUCCCGGUGUAGAGGUGAAAUUCGUAGAUAUCGGGAGGAACACCGGUGGCGAAGGCGGCGACCUGGGUAGAUACUGACGCUGAGGCGCGAAAGCGUGGGGAGCAAACAGG
Molecule: ribosomal RNA, 253 nt
Filed under: uncultured bacterium
Lineage: Bacteria
Description: partial 16S ribosomal RNA
Rfam family: Bacterial small subunit ribosomal RNA
Source: RNAcentral